CUCUACCUGGUGCGCAGGUGAGCAUGACCUCUACCUGGUGCGCACGACCUCUACCUGGUGCGCAGGUGAGCACGACCUCUACCUGGUGCGCAGGUAAGCACGACCUCUACCUGGUGCGCAGGUGAGCAUGACCUCUACCUGGUGCGCACGACCUCUACCUGGUGCGCAGGUGAGCACGACCUCUACCUGGUGCGCAGGUGAGCAUGACCUCUACCUGGUGCGCACUACCUCUACCUGGUGCGCAGGUGAGCACGACCUCUACCUGGUGCGCAGGUGAGCACGACCUCUACCUGGUGCGCAGGUGAGCAUGACCUCUACCUGGUGCGCACGACCUCUACUUGGUGCAAAGGUGAGCACGACCUCUACCUGGUGCGCACGACCUCUACUUGGUGCAAAGGUGAGCACGACCUCUACCUGGUGCGCACAACCUCUACCUGGUGCGCAGGUGAGCACGACCUCUACCUGGUGCGUAGGUGAGCACAACCUCUACCUGGUGCGCAGGUGAGCACGACCUCUACCUGGUGCGCAGGUGAGCACGACCUCUACCGCUACACGCUACCUGUCAUGUGUGUUAGCAGCAUUGCACAUUUAGAAACAGAGGAUAAGCAUGUAGUGUGUGUGUGUGAGUGUGUGUGUGUGUGUGUGUGCAAGCUGGAGAUGCCGAUGCAAAUAAAAUAUGUUGGUGUAUGUGUGUG
Long non-coding RNA from Alosa sapidissima (American shad), 695 nucleotides. RefSeq lists it as uncharacterized. Lineage: Eukaryota; Metazoa; Chordata; Actinopteri; Clupeiformes; Clupeidae. The record is from RefSeq and is a predicted model, not a curated record. The transcript is spliced from 2 exons.